AACGAACGCUGGCGGCAUGCCUAACACAUGCAAGUCGAACGAGACCUUCGGGUCUAGUGGCGCACGGGUGCGUAACACGUGGGAAUUUGCCUCGGGGUAUGGAAUAACUCAGGGAAACUUGAGCUAAUACCAUAUAAUGUCUUCGGACCAAAGAUUUAUCGCCCUGAGAUAAGCCCGCGUAGGAUUAGCUAGUUGGUGAGGUAAAGGCUCACCAAGGCGACGAUCCUUAGCUGGUCUGAGAGGAUGAUCAGCCACACUGGGACUGAGACACGGCCCAGACUCCUACGGGAGGCAGCAGUGGGGGAAUAUUGGACAAUGGGCGGAAAGCCUGAUCCAGCAAUGCCGCGUGAGUGAUGAAGGCC
RNAcentral lists this ribosomal RNA (362 nucleotides) under uncultured bacterium. Its description in RNAcentral is "bacterial SSU rRNA". It matches the Rfam family "Bacterial small subunit ribosomal RNA", at positions 29 to 416 of the family's 1533-position model. The record is from RNAcentral.